This 247-nucleotide ribosomal RNA is filed under the name uncultured bacterium. Its description in RNAcentral is "partial 16S ribosomal RNA". It matches the Rfam family "Bacterial small subunit ribosomal RNA", at positions 523 to 769 of the family's 1533-position model. The record is from RNAcentral.
AUACAGAGGGUGCAAGCGUUAAUCGGAAUUACUGGGCGUAAAGCGAGCGUAGGUGGCUUGAUAAGUCAGAUGUGAAAGCUCCGGGCUUAACCUGGGAACGGCAUCUGAUACUGUUAGGCUGGAGUAGGUGAGAGGAAGGUAGAAUUCCAGGUGUAGCGGUGAAACGCGUAGAGAUCUGGAGGAAUACCGAUGGCGAAGGCAGCCUUCUGGCAUCAUACUGACACUGAGGUUCGAAAGCGUGGGUAGC